This 384-nucleotide unclassified non-coding RNA is filed under the name soil metagenome. RNAcentral's name for it is "partial contains 5.8S ribosomal RNA, internal transcribed spacer 2, and large subunit ribosomal RNA". The stretch from base 1 to 120 matches the Rfam family "5.8S ribosomal RNA", at positions 35 to 154 of the family's 154-position model. The record is from RNAcentral.
GAUGAAGAACGCAGCGAAAUGCGAUAAGUAAUGUGAAUUGCAGAAUUCAGUGAAUCAUCGAAUCUUUGAACGCACCUUGCACCCUUUGGCAUUCCGAAGGGUAUGCUCGUUUGAGUGUCAUUGUACUCUCACUCUCCCGAUGCUUUUGGAUCGGGAGUGGUGGACUUGGGUGUUGCUGCUUUGCUGUGGCUCGCCUCAAAUGGAGUAGUGCAACUCUUGGUUGGACAUAGUACGGCGUGAUAAGUGUCUUCGCCGGCGCCUCAUUAUAGAGGGUGGCCGAUCGGGAGCUCUGUGCUUCAAACCGUCUUCGGACAACAUCUGACAACUUGACCUCAAAUCGAGUAGGACUACCCGCUGAGCUUAAGCAUAUCAAUAAGCGGAGGA